GAUCAAAAGAAUUAGGGCUUUCGGUGGAUACCUAGGCACUCAGAGACGAUGAAGGGCGCAGUAACCGGCGAUACGUUCCGACGAGUUGGAAACAAGCUAGACUCGGAAAUACCCGAAAUGAGGCAACUCUGAAAACUAUCUGUUGAAUUCAUAAACAGAAAAGAGGCAACCCAGUGAAUUGAAACAUCUUAGUAGCUGGAGGAAAAGAAAGCAAACGCGAUUCCCUUAGUAGCGGCGAGCGAACAGGGAACAGCCUAAACCGGUUAGAUAAUAUCUUUACCGGGGUAGUGGGAAGGUCUUUUAACAUUAAAAAAAUUUUUGAUGAAGCAGCUGAAUCCUGCACCAUAGAUGGUGAAAGUCCAGUAAUUAAAAAAUUAUUAAGUAAUCUUAAAAGUAUUAUUUGUAAUAUAAAUUACUAAUUAUAUAUUAUACACUAUAUAGUGUAAUAAAAUAUUAGUGUAAUAAAAUACAAAUAGUUUUAAGAUAAAACGGUCUUAUCCCAAGUAGCAUGGGGCACGUGGAAUCCCGUGUGAAUCUGCGAGGACCACCUCGUAAGGCUAAAUACUCCUGAGUGACCGAUAGCGAACUAGUACCGUGAGGGAAAGGUGAAAUAGAAUCCCGAGAGGGAAGUGAAAUAGAAAAUGAAACCGGAAGCUUUCAAGCAGUGGGAGUCUUGAAAUAUGAUGACCGCGUGCCUGUUGAAGAAUGAGCCGGCGACUUUUAGGGGGUGGCUGGUUUAGGAAUAAAAACCGAAGCCAAAGCGAAAGCAAGUCUUAACAAAAUUGGGCUAUCAUAUUAUGAUUUGUCACUUCCUAAGGACCCGACCCCGUGUGAUCUAACCACGGCCAGGAUGAAGCUUGGUUAAUCCCAAGUAGAGGUCCGAACCGACCGAUGUUGAAAAAUCGGCGGAUGAGCUAUGGUUAGUUGGUGAAAUGCCAAUCGAACUCGGAGCUAGCUGGAUCUCCCCGAAAUGCGUUGAGGCGCAGCGGUUGAUGAUGAACUGUUUAGGGGUAAAGCACUGUUUCGGUGCGGGCUGCGAAAGCGGUACCAAAUCGUGGCAAACUAAUAAUACUAGAUAUGUAUUUCCAUCAACCAGUGAGACGAUCGGGGAUAAGCUCGAUCGUCAAGAGGGAAACAGCCCAGACCAUCAGCUAAGGCCCCAAAAUGACAGCUAAGUGGCAAAGGAUGUGAAAAUGCGAAAACAACCAGGAGGUUUGCUCAGAAGCAGCCAUCCUUUAAAGAGUGCGUAAUAGCUCACUGGUCCAAGCGUUCUUGCGCCGAAAAUUAUCGGGACUAAGUUGUCUGCCGAAGCUGUGGCUUUAAAUAAUAUGUUUAUUGGGUAGGGGAGCGUUCCGCUCUAGGGUGAAGCACAUUUGUGAUUAUGUGUGGACGAAGCGGAAGUGAGAAUGUCGGCUUGAGUAACGCAAACAUUGGUGAGAAUCCAAUGCCCCGAAAACCUAAGGGUUCCACCGGUAGGGUCGUCCGCGGUGGGUUAGUCAGGACCUAAGGCCAGGCCGAAAGGCGCAGUCGAUGGCAAACAGGUGAAUAUUCCUGUACUAAUUUUAUGUUUGCAGCGAGGGACGAAAUAAGUCUAAACUAAUCCUACUUUGGUUUGUAUGGAUGGAAAUGUUCGAAGAUGCUGUAUGAAUAAAAACAUACCUAAAAGAUCUAAGACAUGAUACGCUAAUAACAAUAUUAAAUGAUUUUUAAGUUAUUUAACUUUUUAUUAGUUAGUUAUUGAUAAUGUUUCCUAGAAAAGCUCCAACUGCUUCUCUUUUUAAGAGGAAUAUAAAAUUACCUGUACCAUAAACCGACACAGGUAGGUGUGAGUAGAGAAUACUCAGGGGCGCGAGAUAACUCUCUCUAAGGAACUCGGCAAAAUAGCCCCGUAACUUCGGGAGAAGGGGUGCCUCUCAGCAAUGAGAGGCCGCAGUGACCAGGCCCAGGCGACUGUUUACCAAAAACACAGGUCUCCGCAAAGUCGUAAGACAAUAUAUGGGGGCUGACGCCUGCCCAGUGCCGGAAGGUGAAGGAAGUUGGUUAUUCAUACCGAAAGGAGAAGAAGCUGAUAACCGAAGCCCCGGUGAACGGCGGCCGUAACUAUGACGGUCCUAAGGUAGCGAAAUUCCUUGUCGGGUAAGUUCCGACCCGCACGAAAGGCGUAACGAUCUGGGCGCUGUCUCGGAGAGAGGCUCGGUGAAAUAGACAUGUCCGUGAAGAUGCGGACUUCCCGCACCUGGACAGAAAGACCCUAUGAAGCUUGACUGUAGCCUGAGAUUGAGUUUGGGUUCAUCUUGCGCAGCCUAGGUGGGAGGUGUUGAUAAUUUACUUGCGGGUAAAUUGGAGCCAUCAGUGAGAGACCACUCUGGACGAGCUAGAAUUCUAAUGGCGAUCCUUGAAUCAGGACGCUUGACAGUCUCAGGUGGGCAGUUUCUUUGGGGCGAAGACCUCCUAAAAGGUAACGGAGGUGUGCAAAGGUUCCUUCAGGCUGGACGGAAAUCAGUCGAAGAGUGUAAAGAUAUAAGGGAGCUUGACUGCAAGACCUACAAGUCGAGCAGGGGCGAAAGCCGGCCUUAGUGAUCCGACGGUUCCGUGUGGAAGGGCCGUCGCUCAACGGAUAAAAGUUACUCUAGGGAUAACAGGCUGAUCUUCCCCAAGAGUUCACAUCGACGGGAAGGUUUGGCACCUCGAUGUCGGCUCGUCGCAUCCUGGGGCGGUAGUACGUCCCAAGGGUUGGGCUGUUCGCCCAUGAAAGCGGUACGUGAGCUGGGUUCAGAACGUCGUGAGACAGUUUGGUCCAUAUCCGGUGUGGGCGUUAGAGCAUUGAAAGGAGCUUUCCAUUGUACGAGAGGACUUGGAAGGCUAUACCUCUGGUGUACCAGUUAUUGUACCUACGGUAAACGCUGGGUAGCUAUGUAUAGAGCGGAUAACUGCUGAAAGCAUCUAAGUAGGAAGCCCACCUUAAGAUGAGUGCUCUCUAAGGUCACGGCAAGACUAGCCGGUUGAAAGGUGUUCAGUGUAAGGUUAGUAAUGGCCUCAGCUUAGACAUACUUAUAGACCUUCGAUUUUGAUC
RNAcentral lists this ribosomal RNA (3073 nucleotides) under Pleurastrum terricola. Its description in RNAcentral is "LSU rRNA". It matches the Rfam family "Bacterial large subunit ribosomal RNA". The record is from RNAcentral. Lineage: Eukaryota; Viridiplantae; Chlorophyta; Chlorophyceae; Chlamydomonadales; Pleurastraceae.